This 401-nucleotide ribosomal RNA is filed under the name Klebsiella oxytoca. Its description in RNAcentral is "bacterial SSU rRNA". It matches the Rfam family "Bacterial small subunit ribosomal RNA", at positions 80 to 477 of the family's 1533-position model. Lineage: Bacteria; Pseudomonadati; Pseudomonadota; Gammaproteobacteria; Enterobacterales; Enterobacteriaceae. The record is from RNAcentral.
GCUCUCGGGUGACGAGUGGCGGACGGGUGAGUAAUGUCUGGGAAACUGCCUGAUGGAGGGGGAUAACUACUGGAAACGGUAGCUAAUACCGCAUAACGUCGCAAGACCAAAGAGGGGGACCUUCGGGCCUCUUGCCAUCAGAUGUGCCCAGAUGGGAUUAGCUAGUAGGUGGGGUAACGGCUCACCUAGGCGACGAUCCCUAGCUGGUCUGAGAGGAUGACCAGCCACACUGGAACUGAGACACGGUCCAGACUCCUACGGGAGGCAGCAGUGGGGAAUAUUGCACAAUGGGCGCAAGCCUGAUGCAGCCAUGCCGCGUGUAUGAAGAAGGCCUUCGGGUUGUAAAGUACUUUCAGCGGGGAGGAAGGCGAUAAGGUUAAUAACCUUGUCGAUUGACGUUA